This 497-nucleotide ribosomal RNA is filed under the name uncultured bacterium. Its description in RNAcentral is "partial 16S ribosomal RNA". It matches the Rfam family "Bacterial small subunit ribosomal RNA", at positions 28 to 507 of the family's 1533-position model. The record is from RNAcentral.
GAUGAACGCUGGCGGCGUGCCUAAUACAUGCAAGUCGAGCGAACGGACGAGAAGCUUGCUUUUCUGAUGUUAGCGGCGGACGGGUGAGUAACACGUGGAUAACCUACCUAUAAGACUGGGAUAACUUCGGGAAACCGGAGCUAAUACCGGAUAAUAUUUUGAACCGCAUGGUUCAAAAGUGAAAGACGGUCUUGCUGUCACUUAUAGAUGGAUCCGCGCUGCAUUAGCUAGUUGGUAAGGUAACGGCUUACCAAGGCAACGAUGCAUAGACGACCUGAGAGGGUGAUAGGCCACACGGGAACUGAGACACGGACCAGACUCCUACGGGAGGCAGCAGUAGGGAAUCUUCCGCAAUGGGCGAAAGCCUGACGGAGCAACGCCGCGUGAGUGAUGAAGGUCUUCGGAGCGUAAAACUCUGUUAUUAGGGAAGAACAUAUGUGUAAGUAACUGUGCACAUCUUGACGGUAACGAAUCAGAAAGCCACGGCUAACUACGUG